RNAcentral lists this long non-coding RNA (251 nucleotides) under Brassica napus (rape). Its description in RNAcentral is "long non-coding RNA (BNAP_LNC002170)". Lineage: Eukaryota; Viridiplantae; Streptophyta; Magnoliopsida; Brassicales; Brassicaceae. The record is from RNAcentral.
AAAAAAAAAAAAAAGACAAAUAAAAAUCAAUAAUGGGGCAAAAGCCUUUUUGAAAAAAUAAAAAUAAUAAUGGGACAAAAGACAACGUGGAAACUGAAAGAAAGUGAGGAAUUGGGCUCCACUCCACAACGUAAAUGAUAAUUGAUAGAAACUCUUCUGGUUGAGAUUAGUUAGCCAACCAUCCCCAACUCCUUCCCCAUUUCCUCCCGCCAAAUUAUACAAUCUUGUUGUCAAAAUUAGUAAUCUUAAGC